UUCACAUAGACUCAGGGAAAGAAGGAAGAUGAUGUCCACAUGUCAGCUCCUUGGGCUUCUGUUCUUCUGGGUAUCAGCCUCCAGAGGUGACAUUGUGCUGACUCAGUCUCCAGCCACUCUGUCUGUGACUCCAGGACAAAAAGUGACCAUGACCUGCAAGGCCAGUCAGAGUAUUGGCACAUACUUACACUGGUAUCAGCAAAAGCCAAGUGAGGCUCCAAAGCUCAUCAUCAAGUAUGCUUCCCAGUCCAUGUCUGGGAUCCCCUCCAGGUUCAGCGGCAGUGGGUCAGGGACAGAUUUCACUCUCAGCAUCAAUACUGUGGAGUCAGAAGACUUUGCAAUUUAUUACUGUCAACAGAGUAACAGUUAUCCUCCCACAGUGAUGUAG
Non-coding RNA from Phodopus roborovskii (desert hamster), 388 nucleotides. The record is from the annotation of a RefSeq genome assembly. Lineage: Eukaryota; Metazoa; Chordata; Mammalia; Rodentia; Cricetidae.